AAACACCUAGGCUCAGGACCCAUUAAAUUCUUGCGGAUAUGUUGAGUGAUUGAUUCAAUGGCGGUGCUGGGAGGCAUCGCCAUGAAUGAUCUGUUUUUGCUUACCGAGGCGCAGAUGCGCCGGAUCGAGCCCUAUUUUCCAUUAUCGCACGGGGUUGCGCGGGUUGAUGACCGGCGGGUGAUCAGCGGGAUCAUCUUCGUCAUCAGGAACGGUCUGCGCUGGCGCGAUGC
RNAcentral lists this unclassified non-coding RNA (230 nucleotides) under Hevea brasiliensis (rubber tree). Lineage: Eukaryota; Viridiplantae; Streptophyta; Magnoliopsida; Malpighiales; Euphorbiaceae. The record is from RNAcentral.